This 181-nucleotide small nuclear RNA is filed under the name Xenopus laevis (African clawed frog). RNAcentral describes it as "U2 spliceosomal RNA". It matches the Rfam family "U2 spliceosomal RNA". Rfam says of the family: U2 is a small nuclear RNA (snRNA) component of the spliceosome (involved in pre-mRNA splicing). Complementary binding between U2 snRNA (in an area lying towards the 5' end but 3' to hairpin I) and the branchpoint sequence (BPS) of the intron results the bulging out of an unpaired adenosine, on the BPS, which initiates a nucleophilic attack at the intronic 5' splice site, thus starting the first of two transesterification reactions that mediate splicing. The record is from Rfam by way of RNAcentral. Lineage: Eukaryota; Metazoa; Chordata; Amphibia; Anura; Pipidae.
AUCAAUGUUUUCAUAACUUUAAAAUGUUUGUAUUCUUAUCAGUUUAAUAUCUGAUACGUCCCCUAUCUGGGGACCAUAUAUUAAAUGGAUUUUUGGAACAGGGAGAUGGAAGAAGAGCUUGCUCUGUCCACUCCAUGCACUGACCUGGUAUUGCAGUACCUCCAGGACCGGUGCACUUCUC